This 440-nucleotide ribosomal RNA is filed under the name uncultured bacterium. RNAcentral's name for it is "partial 16S ribosomal RNA". It matches the Rfam family "Bacterial small subunit ribosomal RNA", at positions 339 to 795 of the family's 1533-position model. The record is from RNAcentral.
CUACGGGUGGCUCCAGUCGAGAAUCUUCCGCAAUGGGCGAAAGCCUGACGGAGCAAUGCCGCGUGCAGGAUGAAGGCCUUCGGGUCGUAAACUGCUGUCACCGGGGAUGAAUAAUGACAGUACCCGGGGAGGAAGUCACGGCUAACUACGUGCCAGCAGCCGCGGUAAUACGUAGGUGACAAGCGUUGUUCGGAUUUAUUGGGCGUAAAGGGUUCGUAGGAUGUUGAUUAAGAUUGGUGUGAAAUCCCAAGGCUCAACCUUGGAACUGCAUUGAUUACUGAUGAACUAGAGUGUCGUAGAGGAAAGCGGAAUUCCAGGUGUAGCGGUGGAAUGCGUAGAUAUCUGGAAGAACACCGACAGCGAAGGCAGCUUUCUGGGCGAUAACUGACUCUGAGGAACGAAAGCAUGGGGAGCAAACAGGAUUAGAUACCCGGGUAGUC